CCUACGGGCGGCUGCAGUAGGGAAUAUUGGACAAUGGGCGAAAGCCUGAUCCAGCAAUGCCGCGUGAGUGAUGAAGGCCUUAGGGUUGUAAAGCUCUUUUACCCGAGAUGAUAAUGACAGUAUCGGGAGAAUAAGCUCCGGCUAACUCCGUGCCAGCAGCCGCGGUAAUACGGAGGGAGCUAGCGUUGUUCGGAAUUACUGGGCGUAAAGCGCACGUAGGCGGCGAUUUAAGUCAGAGGUGAAAGCCCGGGGCUCAACCCCGGAACUGCCUUUGAGACUGGAUUGCUAGAAUCUUGGAGAGGCGAGUGGAAUUCCGAGUGUAGAGGUGAAAUUCGUAGAUAUUCGGAAGAACACCAGUGGCGAAGGCGGCUCGCUGGACAAGUAUUGACGCUGAGGUGCGAAAG
This 404-nucleotide ribosomal RNA is filed under the name uncultured Candidatus Saccharibacteria bacterium. RNAcentral describes it as "bacterial SSU rRNA". It matches the Rfam family "Bacterial small subunit ribosomal RNA", at positions 338 to 759 of the family's 1533-position model. The record is from RNAcentral. Lineage: Bacteria; Candidatus Saccharimonadota.